GGGGGGGUGUCGGAUAUUGGGCGUAAGAGCUUGUAGGUGGUUUGUCGCGUCUGCUGUGAAAAUCCGAGGCUCAACCUCGGACUUGCAGUGGGUACGGGCAGACUAGAGUGUGGUAGGGGAGACUGGAAUUCCUGGUGUAGCGGUGGAAUGCGCAGAUAUCAGGAGGAACACCGAUGGCGAAGGCAGGUCUCUGGGCCAUUACUGACACUGAGAAGCGAAAGCAUGGGGAGCGAACAGGAUUAGAUACCCUGGUAGUCCAUGCCGUAAACGUUGGGAACUAGGUGUGGGUCUCAUUCCACGAGAUCCGUGCCGCAGCUAACGCAUUAAGUUCCCCGCCUGGGGAGUACGGCCGCAAGGCUAAAACUCAAAGGAAUUGACGGGGGCCCGCACAAGCGGCGGAGCAUGCGGAUUAAUUCGAUGCAACGCGAAGAACCUUACCAAGGCUUGACAUACGCCGGAAUCACUCAGAGAUGGGUGCGUCUUCGGACUGGUGUACAGGUGGUGCAUGGUUGUCGUCAGCUCGUGUCGUGAGAUGUUGGGUUAAGUCCCGCAACGAGCGCAACCCUCGUUCUAUGUUGCCAGCACGUCAUGGUGGGGACUCAUAGGAGACUGCCGGGGUCAACUCGGAGGAAGGUGGGGAUGACGUCAAAUCAUCAUGCCCCUUAUGUCUUGGGCUUCACGCAUGCUACAAUGGCCGGUACAAAGGGCUGCGAAACCGCGAGGUGGAGCGAAUCCCAAAAAACCGGUCUCAGUUCGGAUUGGGGUCUGCAACUCGACCCCAUGAAGUCGGAGUCGCUAGUAAUCGCAGAUCAGCAACGCUGCGGUGAAUACGUUCCCGGGCCUUGUACACACCGCCCGUCACGUCACGAAAGUUGGCAACACCCGAAGCCAGUGGCCCAACCGUUUACUCGGAGGGAGCUGUCGAAGUGGGGCGAGCGAUUGGGACGAAGUCGUAACAAGGUAACC
Molecule: ribosomal RNA, 966 nt
Filed under: uncultured bacterium
Lineage: Bacteria
Description: bacterial SSU rRNA
Rfam family: Bacterial small subunit ribosomal RNA
Source: RNAcentral